GGUUCGAUGGCGUAGUUGGUUAUCGCAUCUGUCUAACAUCCCUGAAAGUAUUAGAAGCUUUACACAGAAGGUCCCCAGUUCGAGCCUGGGUCGAAUCA
This is a non-coding RNA of Paramarasmius palmivorus, 98 nucleotides long. The record is from the annotation of a GenBank genome assembly. Lineage: Eukaryota; Fungi; Basidiomycota; Agaricomycetes; Agaricales; Marasmiaceae.